UGACCUCACACUUGGUCUCUUGCCAGCAGGGAUGAGGGACGGCAGAGCCCUGGCAGGCUCUGGGCUCAUAAGAUUGCAGGGGGUGUGUUUAACCUACUUGCAAGAAAGAACUCUUCCCAUCCCCUAAGAGGCUGUGUUUCCAUGCAAACAAUGCUGUCCAAAUGAAAAGGCGCUCUCAUCUCUUCAUUAAAGCUCGGCCUCAAAGGACCCAUUGCUACCUGAAUCUUCACUCCUAGCCCGCAACGAGGUGCCGCGUGUAUAAAUGAAGACGUUUGAAUUACAAAAUGCCUUUUAAAUAGAGUGCAUUAUACAAGUUUGGUCCUGAAGAGUCUCCUCAUUCGAUUGCUGGAUUUUGGCAAGGGAUGUGAGGCCACAAGCCAUUUUCUUCCCUCCAUCUGUUCCUUCUAUCCUCCUUUUUGGGCCUGAGCCAGAUCUGAGCUUGCAGCUAGACUGGGCUUGAUCCUUAUGUGAAAGGAAGCCUAGAGAAGGCAGUAUGUGAAGGGAGGGAUGGGCUGCAUCCUGGUGGUCAGGAGAUCAGCAUCCUGGUGGUCAGGAGAUCAGCAUCCUGGUGGUCAGGAGAUCACCAUGGCAGCAAGGUGGGGUAGAGGGAGACAAAGACAGAGACAGAGCGACAGAGAGAGAGAUGGAGAGAGUGUGUGAGGGCACGUGCCACAGCACGUGUGCAGAGGCCAAAGAAGAGCUCCCAGGAGUCAGUUCUCUCCUUCCACCACACUGAAGCACCAACUGCUGUCUCUGCCACUGUGAAGCAGACUCCAGGCUAGCUGACCCACAAGCUCCUGGGUGAUUCUCCCGUCCCCGCCUCCCAUCUCCCCAUAGGAGUGCUGGGAUUAUAGACGACUCUGCCGUAUCCAGUUCUUCACGUGGGGUUGGAAACCAAACUCAGCAAGUCCUUUUACCCAGUACACCCUCUCCCCAGCCCAGCAGUGGAAGCUUUAAGAGGUGGGGCCUGGUGGGUGGUCUGUGAGCUGUUUAUGGGGAGUGGGACCUGCUUCCUCCCCAUCUGUCUCCUCUGGGCUAUUUUCUUCUCCUUGCCAUCGGCCCCAAAGUGUCAGGGUCAAACCCUGUGAACUGAAAUCUCUGAAAAACACCGAGCCAAAAUAAACUAUGCCUUUGUGUAUGG
Long non-coding RNA from Peromyscus californicus insignis, 1141 nucleotides. RefSeq lists it as uncharacterized. The transcript has 2 exons. The record is from RefSeq and is a predicted model, not a curated record. NCBI's taxonomy places the organism in Eukaryota, Metazoa, Chordata, Mammalia, Rodentia, Cricetidae.